ACGUUCGUUGGGUAGGGGAGCGUUCUGUAAGCCUGUGAAGGUGUGUCGUGAGGCAUGCUGGAGGUAUCAGAAGUGCGAAUGCUGACAUAAGUAACGAUAAAGCGGGUGAAAAGCCCGCUCGCCGGAAGACCAAGGGUUCCUGUCCAACGUUAAUCGGGGCAGGGUGAGUCGACCCCUAAGGCGAGGCCGAAAGGCGUAGUCGAUGGGAAACGGGUUAAUAUUCCCGUACUUGGUGUUACUGCGAAGGGGGGACGGAGAAGGCUAUGUUGGCCGGGCGACGGUUGUCCCGGUUUAAGCGUGUAGGUGUGUGUUCCAGGUAAAUCCGGUUCACUUUAACACUGAGGCGUGACGACGAGGCACUACGGUGCUGAAGCAACAAAUGCCCUGCUUCCAGGAAAAGCCUCUAAGCAUCAGGUAACACGAAAUCGUACCCCAAACCGACACAGGUGGUCAGGUAGAGAAUACCAAGGCGCUUGAGAGAACUCGGGUGAAGGAACUAGGCAAAAUGGUGCCGUAACUUCGGGAGAAGGCACGCUGACACGUAGGUGAAGUGAUUUACUCAUGGAGCUGAAGUCAGUCGAAGAUACCAGCUGGCUGCAACUGUUUAUUAAAAACACAGCACUGUGCAAACACGAAAGUGGACGUAUACGGUGUGACGCCUGCCCGGUGCCGGAAGGUUAAUUGAUGGGGUCAGCGCAAGCGAAGCUCCUGAUCGAAGCCCCGGUAAACGGCGGCCGUAACUAUAACGGUCCUAAGGUAGCGAAAUUCCUUGUCGGGUAAGUUCCGACCUGCACGAAUGGCGUAAUGAUGGCCAGGCUGUCUCCACCCGAGACUCAGUGAAAUUGAACUCGCUGUGAAGAUGCAGUGUACCCGCGGCAAGACGGAAAGACCCCGUGAACCUUUACUAUAGCUUGACACUGAACAUUGAGCCUUGAUGUGUAGGAUAGGUGGGAGGCUUUGAAGUGUGGACGCCAGUCUGCAUGGAGCCGACCUUGAAAUACCACCCUUUAAUGUUUGAUGUUCUAACGUGGACCCGUAAUCCGGGUUGCGGACAGUGUCUGGUGGGUAGUUUGACUGGGGCGGUCUCCUCCUAAAGAGUAACGGAGGAGCACGAAGGUUGGCUAAUCCUGGUCGGACAUCAGGAGGUUAGUGCAAUGGCAUAAGCCAGCUUGACUGCGAGCGUGACGGCGCGAGCAGGUGCGAAAGCAGGUCAUAGUGAUCCGGUGGUUCUGAAUGGAAGGGCCAUCGCUCAACGGAUAAAAGGUACUCCGGGGAUAACAGGCUGAUACCGCCCAAGAGUUCAUAUCGACGGCGGUGUUUGGCACCUCGAUGUCGGCUCAUCACAUCCUGGGGCUGAAGUAGGUCCCAAGGGUAUGGCUGUUCGCCAUUUAAAGUGGUACGCGAGCUGGGUUUAGAACGUCGUGAGACAGUUCGGUCCCUAUCUGCCGUGGGCGCUGGAGAACUGAGGGGGGCUGCUCCUAGUACGAGAGGACCGGAGUGGACGCAUCACUGGUGUUCGGGUUGUCAUGCCAAUGGCACUGCCCGGUAGCUAAAUGCGGAAGAGAUAAGUGCUGAAAGCAUCUAAG
This 1586-nucleotide ribosomal RNA is filed under the name Salmonella enterica subsp. enterica serovar Typhimurium. RNAcentral describes it as "partial 23S ribosomal RNA". It matches the Rfam family "Bacterial large subunit ribosomal RNA", at positions 1217 to 2785 of the family's 2925-position model. The record is from RNAcentral. Lineage: Bacteria; Pseudomonadati; Pseudomonadota; Gammaproteobacteria; Enterobacterales; Enterobacteriaceae.